RNAcentral lists this ribosomal RNA (207 nucleotides) under uncultured bacterium. RNAcentral describes it as "partial 16S ribosomal RNA". It matches the Rfam family "Bacterial small subunit ribosomal RNA", at positions 568 to 774 of the family's 1533-position model. The record is from RNAcentral.
CGCGCAGGUGGGUUAGCAAGUCAGAGGUGAAAUCCUACAGCUUAACUGUAGAACUGCCUUUGAGACUGCUAAUCUUGAGUACGGAAGAGAGAGAUGGAAUUCCAGGUGUAGUGGUGAAAUACGUAGAUAUCUGGAAGAACACCAGUGGCGAAGGCGAUCUCUUGGUCCUUUACUGACGCUAAGGCGCGAAAGCGUGGGGAGCAAACA